Anastrepha ludens (Mexican fruit fly) is the source of this 707-nucleotide long non-coding RNA. RefSeq lists it as uncharacterized. The record is from RefSeq and is a predicted model, not a curated record. Lineage: Eukaryota; Metazoa; Arthropoda; Insecta; Diptera; Tephritidae. The transcript has 3 exons.
CAGCGCCUGUUUUAAUUAGUUCGAGUUAUCGCGAGUGCACUGUAUUUAUAUUUUAUGCGGAUUAUUUUUAUGCGAUUUUGAUUUUGUGCGUUUUGUAUUUCAUCCAAAAAUUUCUUGCAAACACAUAUGUAUGUACAUAUAGAAUUAUUUAGGAAGAGAUGGUUUUAAUACCUUCAGCCAUGAUGAUAAAGAAACUUCGCAGAAAGUCGUUUUCUAAUUAAUGACCCCAAUUCUUAACGAGUCUUUAAAUUACAACGUGAGCUGCAGAACUGCAAGAGUGGAUAUCAAAAGAAAGAGCUACACAGAACGAGAAUAAAGUUUGUGAAAAUCCAUAGUCUUUACCGCAAAUAUUUCUUGCAGAGAGAGACUCUUCUGAUAACGAAGAUGCUCAGAGGGGUUGCUGUUGCCAAGAACAGUACGGACUUGGCUUAGUCCAAGGCAUCCGUCCAGGAGAUGUUGCACUGAUAAAUCUGGUCUAUAUUAUUUAAUUUGUAGUAGUGCUAAUAGAUGUCCGAAAUCAUGCGUGAAUUUGCUGUGUGCUUUAUUCUCACGCUCAUCAGCGACUUGGUUGCCUUUGGAUCCAGCAUGACCAGGAACCUACAUAAUUUUUAUUGCAUCUUUUUUUUCUCUUGUAAAUAAUAUUGUUACAAUCGGGAACCAACUGGCAAAAAUAGUGAACGAGAGGCGACAGCAGAUAGUGAGACAGU